Molecule: transfer RNA, 74 nt
Filed under: Cyrtopodion scabrum
Lineage: Eukaryota; Metazoa; Chordata; Lepidosauria; Squamata; Gekkonidae
Description: tRNA-Gln
Rfam family: tRNA
About the family: Transfer RNA (tRNA) molecules are approximately 80 nucleotides in length. Their secondary structure includes four short double-helical elements and three loops (D, anti-codon, and T loops). Further hydrogen bonds mediate the characteristic L-shaped molecular structure. tRNAs have two regions of fundamental functional importance: the anti-codon, which is responsible for specific mRNA codon recognition, and the 3' end, to which the tRNAs corresponding amino acid is attached (by aminoacyl-tRNA synthetases). tRNAs cope with the degeneracy of the genetic code in two manners: having more than one tRNA (with a specific anti-codon) for a particular amino acid; and 'wobble' base-pairing, i.e. permitting non-standard base-pairing at the 3rd anti-codon position.
Source: RNAcentral
UGGGGGGUAGUACAAGUGUGGCAGUACGCGAGGUUUUGGAUCUUGUGGUAUAGGUUCGAGUCCUGUUCCCUAGG